This 488-nucleotide ribosomal RNA is filed under the name uncultured Entrophospora. Its description in RNAcentral is "SSU rRNA". It matches the Rfam family "Eukaryotic small subunit ribosomal RNA", at positions 569 to 1054 of the family's 1831-position model. The record is from RNAcentral. Lineage: Eukaryota; Fungi; Glomeromycota; Glomeromycetes; Entrophosporales; Entrophosporaceae.
AGCAGCCGCGGUAAUUCCAGCUCCAAUAGCGUAUAUUAAAGUUGUUGCAGUUAAAAAGCUCGUAGUUGAAUUUCGGGAUCGACGUGAUGGUCGUGCCUUAAGGGGUAUGAACUGUUGCAGUCAAUUUCUCACCUUCUGGAGAAAUAUAAUGUCCUUAAUUGGGUGUUAUAUGGAACCAGAACUUUUACCUUGAAAAAAUUAGAGUGUUUAAAGCAGGCAUAUUGCUCGAAUACAUUAGCAUGGAAUAAUAAAAUAGGACGGCAUGGUUCUAUUUUGUUGGUUUCUAGGAUCACCGUAAUGAUUAAUAGGGAUAGUUGGGGGCAUUAGUAUUCAAUUGUCAGAGGUGAAAUUCUUGGAUUUUAUUGAAGACUAACUACUGCGAAAGCAUUUGCCAAGGAUGUUUUCAUUAAUCAAGAACGAAAGUUAGGGGAUCGAAGACGAUCAGGUACCGUCGUAGUCUUAACCAUAACUAUGACCGACUAGGAAUC